RNAcentral lists this ribosomal RNA (465 nucleotides) under uncultured bacterium. Its description in RNAcentral is "partial 16S ribosomal RNA". It matches the Rfam family "Bacterial small subunit ribosomal RNA", at positions 28 to 507 of the family's 1533-position model. The record is from RNAcentral.
GACGAACGCUGGCGGCGUGCUUAACACAUGCAAGUCGAACGGAAAGGCCCUGCUUGCCGGGUACUCGAGUGGCGAACGGGUGAGUAACACGUGGGUGAUCUGCCCUGCACUUCGGGAUAAGCCUGGGAAACUGGGUCUAAUACCGGAUAGGAGCCAUUUUUAGUGUGAUGGUUGGAAAGUUUUUUCGGUGUAGGGUGAGCUCGCGGCCUAUCAGCUUGUUGGUGGGGUAAUGGCCUACCAAGGCGGCGACGGGUAGCCGGCCUGAGAGGGUGGACGGCCACAUUGGGACUGAGAUACGGCCCAGACUCCUACGGGAGGCAGCAGUGGGGAAUAUUGCACAAUGGGCGCAAGCCUGAUGCAGCGACGCCGCGUGGGGGAUGACGGCCUUCGGGUUGUAAACGCCUUUCGCUAGGGACGAAGCUUUUUGUGACGGUACCUAGAGAAGAAGCACCGGCUAACUACGUG